GUUCCCUAGGGCCAAGAGUCGACACCACUAUAGUUUCUUUUGUUCUUAAUUUUGUAAUGGAAAGCUAGUUCUCUCCGCUGGGCUAAGGAGGAAGCCAAUAAAUCGUCUGAAGGCCAAGCUAGGAUUAGGGAAACUUCCUCAAACUACUCUGCCAAUGUUAAACAAGGACCAAGAAAUGAAGGUAACUCCUCUGCAGAUUCUGGACAGCAGGCAAGUAAAAAAUGGCAACCAUAAUAUCAACCAAGUGUUGGUGCAGUGGGAGAACCUAUCAACUCAGGAUGCCACAUGGUAUGACAAAGAAUUCAUGGAAUACCAAUUUCCAAAGCUAAUCCUUGAGGUCAAGGAUUUGAAAGAGUAUAGGGUAUUAUCAGGACCCAAGUUUAAUUAUGCUUUUAAGUAUGUUUAAUUAUGCUUUUAUUAGUUUAGAAAGAGUUUUUAAGGGUUGUCCACUUGCUAUAGGCACCCAUUAGGUCUUUUGAAUUGUACAGACCAUUUCAGUACUCGUGCGAGUCACACGAGCGGGGUUGUGUGUGUGUCCUUCUUAUCCUGGUCUGUGCUGUAGAAUAUGGUUAUGAAAAAGUAAAUAUGAAAAUUCUUCUCUCUCAA
This is a long non-coding RNA of Papaver somniferum (opium poppy), 606 nucleotides long. RefSeq lists it as uncharacterized. The record is from RefSeq and is a predicted model, not a curated record. The transcript is spliced from 2 exons. Lineage: Eukaryota; Viridiplantae; Streptophyta; Magnoliopsida; Ranunculales; Papaveraceae.